CUGCCCCGCCCCCACCGCACCCCGCUCGCGGGGCAGAGCGGGACGGCGCGGGCGCGCGGCCGACCGUUGGUGUGGGGGGGAGGGAGAGGGUCGCCCCAGCCCGCCGCCCWCGGGCGCCUCGCCGCCGUCCCCUCGCCUCGCCCCCAGUUCUGCCGGCAGCCCCUCCUGUUUCCCUGCCCCUCCCGGGAAGCCCCGGGAGCCCCGUCGUUUGCCCCUGCGGUGGCGGUGGCGGGGGGAAGCCCGGGGCGUCCAGCCUCGCUGGGGCUCAGCUGCGCCGGCCCUAGAAGGCGUAACGCAUUCUGGUUCUGGCCGCUUUGGGCCGAGGCGGCUUGCUCAGGGAGGAGAGGCCCUGCUUGCCCCAUGCACCCGGCGAGAGGGCAGCCACCUGCCGCCCUGGGGACCGGGAGCAGUGGCCCAGGAGGUUGUGAUUCUGGAAAACAGAAGGCAGUGCUGGAAAACUAUAGCUCUACAUUUAAGUAUUGUGACAGUGAAUUACUGGGCAAGAGAGAACAUUCCAAGUGAGUCUCAAAAUAGAAGGCAGUUAAGUAAGUAAGUCCAUGAAUUUAGCAUUAUAUGGAAUCUUGAGUUCAGCCCUUGUCUU
This 601-nucleotide long non-coding RNA is filed under the name Dromaius novaehollandiae (emu). RNAcentral's name for it is "lncRNA (ENSDNVG00000013290.1)". Lineage: Eukaryota; Metazoa; Chordata; Aves; Casuariiformes; Dromaiidae. The record is from RNAcentral.